Molecule: ribosomal RNA, 789 nt
Filed under: uncultured bacterium
Lineage: Bacteria
Description: bacterial SSU rRNA
Rfam family: Bacterial small subunit ribosomal RNA
Source: RNAcentral
CAUGCUUAACACAUGCAAGUCGAACGGCAGCACGAGGAGCUUGCUCCUUGGUGGCGAGUGGCGGACGGGUGAGUAACGCGUAGGAAUCUACCUAGUAGUGGGGGACAACCCGAGGAAACUCGGGCUAAUACCGCAUACCCUUUUCGAAGGAAAGCAGGGGAUCUUCGGACCUUGUGCUAUUAGAUGAGCCUGCGUCAGAUUAGCUUGUUGGUGAGGUAAAGGCCUACCAAGGCGACGAUCUGUAGCUGGUCUGAGAGGAUGAUCAGCCACACUGGGACUGAGACACGGCCCAGACUCCUACGGGAGGCAGCAGUGGGGAAUAUUGCACAAUGGGCGAAAGCCUGAUGCAGCAAUGUCGCGUGUGUGAAGAAGGCCUUAGGGUUGUAAAGCACUUUCAGCGGGGAAGAAAAGUUUGUGGCUAAUAUCCACAAACCCUGACAUUACCCGCAGAAGAAGCACUGGCUAACUCUGUGCCAGCAGCCGCGGUAAUACAGAGAGUGCGAGCGUUAAUCGGAAUUACUGGGCGUAAAGCGCGUGUAGGUUGAUAUUUAAGUCGGAUGUGAAAGCCCCAAGCUCAACUUGGGAACUGCAUCCGAUACUGGAUAUCUAGAGUAUGGUAGAGGGAAGUGGAAUUUCCGGUGUAGCGGUGAAAUGCGUAGAUAUCGGAAGGAACAUCAGUGGCGAAGGCGACUUCCUGGACCAAUACUGACACUGAGACGCGAAAGCGUGGGGAGCAAACAGGAUUAGAGACCCUGGUAGUCCACGCCGUCAACGAUGAGAACUAGCUGU